UGUUUUGGUCCUAGACAUAAUAUUAUUUAUAUACAGCAUUACACAUGCCAGUAUCCGCACCCCAGUGCCUAAAUUCACAAACUAUAGAUCAGUCAUGAAGUAGGUAUCAGGUACACCCAUCAGGUAGCCAAUAACACCUAGCAAUGCCACACCCCCACGGAACUCAGCAGUGAUAAACAUUAAGCCAUGAGCUAAAGCUCGACUUAGCCAAAAUGAUUUAGAGCCGGUAAACCUCGUGCCAGCCACCGCGGUUAUACGAGCGGGCUCAAAAUAAUAUUACCCGGCGUAAAGAGUGAUCAGAGAUUAAUACCUAAGAUUAAGAAUUAUAGUGUAGUUUUAAAAAACACACACCUAUAAGAAUCCCACUUUAAUCUAUUCAUAUAGCCUCUACUCACGAAAGCUGGAGCACAAACUAGGAUUAGAUACCCUACUAUGUCCAGCCGUUAAUCUAAGCAAACACCUACUAAUUUGCCCGCCAGAAAAUUACAAGCGAAAGCACAAAAUUCAAAGGACUUGACGGUGUUCCAUAUCAACCUAGAGGAGCCUGUCCUAUAAUCGAUAACCCACGUUAAACCUCACCCAUUCUUGCCAAGUCAGCCUAUAUACCGCCGUCGCCAGCCCAUCUAAUGAUAGAAAAAAAAUGGACAAGAUUGUUUAACCACAAAAACGUCAGGUCAAGGUGUAGCUAACGAAUGGGCUGAGAUGGGCUACAUUUUUAAAAAUUAAAAACUACCGCAAACAACAUGAAAUAUAAGUUCUUAAGGUGGAUUUAGAAGUAAAUCUGUGCAAGAUAUGCCACAUUGAAAUCCGUUCUGGAAC
Molecule: non-coding RNA, 819 nt
Filed under: Phelsuma modesta (modest day gecko)
Lineage: Eukaryota; Metazoa; Chordata; Lepidosauria; Squamata; Gekkonidae
Description: partial 12S ribosomal RNA
Rfam family: Bacterial small subunit ribosomal RNA
Source: RNAcentral